Molecule: non-coding RNA, 1045 nt
Organism: Elaeis guineensis (African oil palm)
Lineage: Eukaryota; Viridiplantae; Streptophyta; Magnoliopsida; Arecales; Arecaceae
Source: RefSeq, a predicted model, not a curated record
UCAAAAUGACGUUUUAUCAUUUUUGUAUCAAUCUGAUAAAUAAAUUUAAAAUUAAAUUAUUUAUAUAAAUAAAUUUUUUUUUUACAUUAAUCAGGAAAAGCACUCCUCAGGCCUCCCACUCAAUUGAGACUUCCAAAAAUAGAGAGAAAAUACCCAACGCGAACACCAGCCAUCCUCCCACUCGAUUGAGGCUUCUGGAAAUAGAAAACAGAUAGGAAGUACCCAACGAGAAACCCCAGCACCUGUCGUCCAACCCUAUUUGGCCGUCCCAAGCCUCCCACCCGGUUGGGACUCCUGAGGACACAAAAAGGGAGAGGAAAAUAGGACGAAAAUAGAGGAAAAAUCCACAAAAGUAGAAGAAAGACAGAAAUAAAUUUAAGAAAAUGAUGCUCGGUAGAUCGAUCUGUCAUAAAGAGUUGUUUGAACACACUCACAAGAGAAAAGAUGGUACCUUUACAUUUGAGAAAGCAAAGAUAGUGAAUGAGAAAUAUGAUACUAUCAUAUGAUAGAAGUAUGGUGUGGACCUAUCUUCCCAUCCUUCUUUGGAUGAGGAGGCUUGGUUGGCUGCUGCGGGACUUUCUAAAAAAGCCACAUUCGAACGAUGAGGUGACGAGGGAGAUGCAUCUUAUAUGGGAGAAUAUGGAUAAGUUAAAUCAAAAUAUUCAAGUACAACAAAAUUCAAUAGUGGGUUGCUUCUCCUGGAUGGAUGCCACCACACCCAUACACUCCAUCGACAUUUCCUUCGAUGGCUUAAACUCCAACUCGACCUGAGGGCUCUACUUUGAAGCAGCAUGCAUCAGAGGAAGAUAGAAGUGGACAUAGCUAUGGUGGAGGGGAUACACAUUUAGGCACUUCAUAGUUUGUUGUGUGCUUUAUUAUGUGCCACUUGUCUCAUUUUAUAUACUUUAUUGUUUGGGUAUUUCAUGUGUUUUGGAUAUAUAUGAUUGACAUUAUAUGUAUUCUAUGGCAUUUGCACAUACUUAUGGUGUUGUGAACACUAUAAUUUAUUGAUUUUGGAUAAAAUAUUAUAAAUUCCAUGAUUGAG